RNAcentral lists this long non-coding RNA (1120 nucleotides) under Homo sapiens (human). Its description in RNAcentral is "HSALNT0318219". The record is from RNAcentral. Lineage: Eukaryota; Metazoa; Chordata; Mammalia; Primates; Hominidae.
UUUUGAGAUGGGUUCUUGCUCUGUCACCCAGGCUGGAGUACAGUGAUGCCAUCACAGCUCACUGCAGACUCCACCUCCUGGGCUCAAACAAUCCUCCCACCUCAGCCUCCUGAGUAGGUCGGACGACAGGCAUGCACCACCAUGCCCUGCUAAUUUUUUCUAUUUUUAUUUUUAUUUUUUUGUAGAAACGAGGUUUAACUAUGUUGCCCAGGCUGGUCUUGAACUCCUGAGCUUAAGCAAUCCACCCACUGCAGCCUCCCAAAAUGCUCAGAUUACAGGAGUGAGCCACUGCACCCAGCCAAUUUUUUAUUAUUUGAAGGAGGGUCCAAAAUUUGUGUAAAUGUCCACCUCACCUCAAAAAACUAGUUCUGCCCCUGGCUGUGGUCUUAAGUAGAGAAAUAUAAGUACUUCUGAAGGAGAUCUUGGCAAUGGGGAAACUAGAGGUAUACAUAUACCCUGACCUUUUUAUCCUGCUACCUUCUGAUCUUCAAACCCAAACAGAAGCCAGAGAUUAAGGGAGCCCUUAUACUUCAGUCCAUAGAGUUCGGCCUCUCUGGACAUAAGCAGGUUGGUGAAGAGACAAGCAGAACAUAUCCAGCAUUGUGAAGAACCUCAGUGGUUGCCAUGAAAACCUCAAUGGUUGCCAUGAGAACUUCAGUGGUUGCCAUAAUGGGUCUUCCACUAGAAUGACACCCAGAGACACGCUACCUGUGCCCAUCCCCACUCAUUCUUCUCCACUGGAAAUGGAAUGACAUGCAAGUACUGCCUCUGGGAGAAGGAAGUGAGUAUGGAAGGAUCAGCUCCUUCUGAGCUCUCUUCUAUUGGUGCCUGACUGUCUGCCUGGCUGCAGAGAGGGCUUGUCCUGUGUGUGCUCAGGCCAUAUGGCCCAUGGUUCUCCAGCUGUGCCAGCAAAUGGGAUCUUGUCUGCCAAUCUAGGGCCAAGACAGAAGAAUGCUCGCUUGAGAAUCUGGUUUGGAUGGACUGAAAUAGGGUUCCUUCCAGCUCUACUUGAUGGUAGUAAUAAUGACAGUAAUAAUAAACAGCAUUAUUAUUAUGACCUAGUCCAACCCCUAUAUUCUACAGUCAUUCUAACUGGAGUAAGAUGAUAGGCUAAAUUAGG